CCACAAGCGACAUCGCUUUUAGUCAGUCACGAAUGUUCGUGGUAAAAUGAGGUUUGAUUUUGUGUAGGAUGUAUGAAUAGGCUGACUGUGGGUUAUGACAGUGAGUUCGAAACAAUAUUCAGGUGCAGAAAUGUUAAAGGUUGAAGAUUCAAAGACACAAAGUAACGAACGGGAAAUAUUACAACGUUUUAAAACAAGACAAUAUAUCAUUGCACCAAAAGAAAUUCGCCAAGUUCCAAGUUUCAUCACUGAGUGAGAUGGAGACCUAUCACGUCGGAAGAGGAACUUUCUGAAACACUUCUUGAAAGCGGGAAAGACAAUCUAAAGAUAUGCGGAGUUAUUCGUCCGAUUAUGCAUCACUGAGAGAGGUGGCUGCCUUGAGUCUAAAGAGCAAAAUUUCUGCCUAAUGCAAUCACGUUAUAUAAUUCCCUCAAUCUGUUCGGGUAUGAGUUCGACAAAAUCAAACUAAGGCGUUGACCUGGCCUUGCUCGAGCCGUUGGACCUGUCGUUUAAAAUUUAACCGAGGUCGUGGUUGGCUUAUAUAGAUUCAUAAGAGGAAGAAGAAAGCUGCUUAUUUAACUUGAAAUAGCACGUAGGUAUUCACCGAGAAAGGUAGCUUUAUAUAGGUAUUGCUUGUGCAAGCACAAGUGCGUUACCACGUGGGUAUUUACCGAGAGAGGGAGCAAUAUCAUUUUUCGUUAAUUGUUUCCGCAAAAUAGUUAAUUUGAUGGCGUUUGCUGUUGCCUUCAGAGUCUAUUAUAUCCACGUUGUGGCUCAUUCCAUUUUUGUAAACGUUAUCAAAGUGUCUUUUCUAUUUUUCCAAUUUGAUUAAGGAUAUAUCGCAUCUAAUUAGUUUCGUUUUUAUAAAAUCCUACAAAAUGUUGGGUUUAAUAACAUACAACUGUUUUGUCAAUUUGCCAAUAAAAUUUGCCAAUUUUAGUAUGAUACAAUUAUAUAUCACGCAAAGUACAUCAUCAAUAUACGUAUGUAUGCAUUUUUGAUGUAAUCAUCUUCUUUUUUUUUUAAUUUACAACGUUUUAACACAACAGGUAAAACAAAUCGAGAACGCAAAAGAUUUAUAAUUGGCGAUUUGCAGUUUCUAGGUUAUCAUUGAUUGUUUACAACUUCCAGCUUUGUGUUGCUUAAUUUUUUUUUUAGUAGAAACUCGUGGCCUUACAUGAGACGAUAAUAGCCUACUUAUCUGUUCAUAGCAAACAUUAUACUCACAAACAUCGCAAUUUGUUCAUUUUGGAUUUCUCAAAGCGUGAUCAUCAUCACACGAAACGGCGCAUUCUUUACAUGACAGUAUGUGGCAUUUCGAAUAGAAUAUAUUGUCAGUUUCGAAUGCAUGACCUUGAUUUCUUUAGUUUUAUUGAUUCCCCCAAGUAGGAUGACGUUGAAAAAAGAAGUAAUAUUAUUUCUUAAAAUUGGUUGUGACCCAUUUGUAUAUAUUCACUUUAGUUUAUAACAACAGUGUCAAGUUAAAAUGCUUAGUCUUCUUUAUUUAUUUUCAUUGGUAACUAUAUAUACAACAACGUUAAAAAUUGAAUUAAUAUUGCUUCUUUAUUGUUGUAGUCUAUUUGUUUGUUUCGCUUCAAUAUGUCCACACAACAUUAUAACGUUUUGGUUCCUG
This is a non-coding RNA of Styela clava, 1633 nucleotides long. The record is from RefSeq and is a predicted model, not a curated record. NCBI's taxonomy places the organism in Eukaryota, Metazoa, Chordata, Ascidiacea, Stolidobranchia, Styelidae.